CAAUUAGCCGGCAUUUUACAAUUUAUCCUCUCUUACUUUCUCCAUCUUUGUGAUUACCGGAUUAACCAACAGCAAAAGUAUCAAUAUGACAAGAAACUGUAUCAACGUUGAUAGUAGUGAUAUAACAGUUAAAUAUUACCCAGAAGAAGCCUCAUUCUGGAUGUAUGCCAUGAUCAUUGUCGGAGCUGGAUUUGUAUUAUUUCUGGUUGGAACUGUUUAUCUCAUGCUAUCACCGGAUCGAUCACAUUAAUUGCUCCUCUUUGGUGAAUUUUAAUUGUAAUCAAAAAAUGGCCAAAGUUAAUUGUUGGUAAUUGUGGUCAUCUAAAUAUAAAUAAUGUAUAGUGUAUCCAUCCUUUGAUUAUAUUAAAUUGAAUAUUAAUCAUCAAUUUGAUUUAAUUCAAAUGUUAAUUUCAAUUUUAUGUCUCAUCUUAAAUUAACUCCUUUUAUCUUAUUAUUAAUAAACGAAACAUUAAUCAAAUGGUUCACA
This is a long non-coding RNA of Panonychus citri (citrus red mite), 487 nucleotides long. RefSeq lists it as uncharacterized. NCBI's taxonomy places the organism in Eukaryota, Metazoa, Arthropoda, Arachnida, Trombidiformes, Tetranychidae. The transcript is spliced from 3 exons. The record is from RefSeq and is a predicted model, not a curated record.